Molecule: ribosomal RNA, 492 nt
Filed under: uncultured bacterium
Lineage: Bacteria
Description: partial 16S ribosomal RNA
Rfam family: Bacterial small subunit ribosomal RNA
Source: RNAcentral
AGUGAACGCUGGCGGUAGGCCUAACACAUGCAAGUCGAACGGCAGCACAGUAAGAUCUUGCUCUUACGGGUGGCGAGUGGCGGACGGGUGACGAAUACAUCGGAAUCUACUUUUUCGUGGGUGAUAACGUAGGGAAACUUACGCUAAUACCGCACACUACCUACGGCUGAAAUCAGUGGAUCUUCGUACCUUGCGCGACUGAAUGAGCCGAUGUCGGAUUAGCUAGUUGGCUGGGUAAAGGCCCACCAAGGCGACGAUCCGUAGCUGAUCUGAGAGGAUGAUCAGCCACACUGGAACUGAGACACGGUCCAGACUCCUACGGGAGGCAGCAGUAGGGAAUCUUGGACAAUGGGCGCAAGCCUGAUCCAGCCAUACCGCGUGGGUGAAGAAGGUCUUCGGGUUGUAAAGCCCUUUUAUUGGGAAAGAAAAGCAGCAGGAUAAUACCCGGCUGUUCUGACGGUACCCAAUGAAUAAGCACCGGCUAACUUCGUG